GGUUAUUCUGCAGAUUGUAUAAAUCUUUUGCCUUUUACUAAAGAUUUCCUUGGAGAGGAACAACAAC
This 67-nucleotide small nuclear RNA is filed under the name Marmota marmota marmota (Alpine marmot). Its description in RNAcentral is "U5 spliceosomal RNA (ENSMMMG00000020410.1)". It matches the Rfam family "U5 spliceosomal RNA", at positions 8 to 74 of the family's 117-position model. Rfam says of the family: U5 RNA is a component of both types of known spliceosome. The precise function of this molecule is unknown, though it is known that the 5' loop is required for splice site selection and p220 binding, and that both the 3' stem-loop and the Sm site are important for Sm protein binding and cap methylation. The record is from RNAcentral. Lineage: Eukaryota; Metazoa; Chordata; Mammalia; Rodentia; Sciuridae.